This 583-nucleotide ribosomal RNA is filed under the name Anablepsoides rubrolineatus. Its description in RNAcentral is "partial large subunit ribosomal RNA". It matches the Rfam family "Bacterial large subunit ribosomal RNA", at positions 1812 to 2606 of the family's 2925-position model. The record is from RNAcentral. Lineage: Eukaryota; Metazoa; Chordata; Actinopteri; Cyprinodontiformes; Rivulidae.
AACAUCGCCUCUUGCUAACAAAGUAUAAGAGGUCCUGCCUGCCCUGUGACACUAUGUUUAACGGCCGCGGUAUCUUGACCGUGUGAAGGUAGCGUAAUCAUUUGUCUUUUAAAUGAAGACCUGUAUGAAUGGCACAACGAGAGCUUAACUGUCUCACUCUUUUAGUCAAUGAAAUUGAUCUCCCCGUGCAGAAGCGAGGAUAACCACAUAAGACGAAAAGACCCUAUGGAGCUUUAGAAUCUGAAACAACCCACAAUAAACAACAAAAUUAAUUCUCGGACCCUGUUUCUAUAUUUCUUCGGUUGGGGCGACCAUGGAGAAAAACAAAACCUCCAAGAAAAAAUUACCAAAUUUUAUCGAAACCCAGAGAAACAUCUCUAACUUCCAGAACCUCUGUUUAAAAAAUGAUCCGGUUUACACAACCGAUCAACGAAACAAGUUACCCUAGGGAUAACAGCGCAAUCCCCUUUUAGAGUCCCCAUCGACAAGGGGGUUUACGACCUCGAUGUUGGAUCAGGACAUCCUAAUGGCGCAACCGCUAUUAAGGGUUCGUUUGUUCAACGAUUAAAGUCCUACGUGAUCU